UCUACGGGUGGCAGCAGUGGGGAAUAUUGCGCAAUGGGCGAAAGCCUGACGCCGCGACGCCGCGUGAGGGAUGAAGGUCUUCGGAUCGUAAACCUCUGUCAGCAGGGAAGAACGGUCACUGUGCUAAUCAGCAGUGAAUUGACGGUACCUGCAAAGGAAGCACCGGCUAACUCCGUGCCAGCAGCCGCUGUAAUACGGAGGGUGCGAGCGUUAAUCGGAAUUACUGGCCGUAAAGCUCUCGUAGGCGGUAUGUCAAGGCAAGGGUGAAAUCCCCGCGCUCAACGUGGGAAUUGCCUUUGAAAAUGGCAAACUGGAGUGUGUGAGAGGAUAGUGGAAUUCCAGGUGUAGGAGUGAAAUCCGUAGAUAUCUGGAGGAACAUCAGGGGCGAAGGCGAGUAUCUGGCACAUAACUGACGCUGAGGAGCGAAAGCGUGGGUAGCAAACAGGAGUAGAUACCCGUGUAGUC
Molecule: ribosomal RNA, 465 nt
Filed under: uncultured bacterium
Lineage: Bacteria
Description: partial 16S ribosomal RNA
Rfam family: Bacterial small subunit ribosomal RNA
Source: RNAcentral